AAGCCUGAUCCAGCCAUGUCGCGUGAGGGAUGACGGCCCUACGGGUUGUAAACCUCUUUUGUCGGGGAGCAAAUUCCGCCACGCGUAGCGGAGUCGAGAGUACCCGAAGAAAAAGCAUCGGCUAACUCCGUGCCAGCAGCCGCGGUAAUACGAAGGGGGCUAGCGUUGCUCGGAAUCACUGGGCGUAAAGAGCACGUAGGCGGCCUUGCAAGUCAGAUGUGAAAUCCAACGGCUUAACCGUUGAACUGCAUUUGAAACUGCAAGGCUAGAGUAUGGGAGAGGUAGGUGGAAUUCUCGGUGUAGGGGUAAAAUCCGUAGAGAUCGAGAGGAAUACUCAUUGCGAAGGCGACCUGCUGGAACAUUACUGACGCUGAGGUGCGAAAGCGUGGGGAGCAAACA
This 399-nucleotide ribosomal RNA is filed under the name uncultured Wolinella sp. Its description in RNAcentral is "bacterial SSU rRNA". It matches the Rfam family "Bacterial small subunit ribosomal RNA", at positions 379 to 774 of the family's 1533-position model. The record is from RNAcentral. Lineage: Bacteria; Pseudomonadati; Campylobacterota; Epsilonproteobacteria; Campylobacterales; Helicobacteraceae.